Molecule: transfer RNA, 76 nt
Filed under: Alphaproteobacteria bacterium
Lineage: Bacteria; Pseudomonadati; Pseudomonadota; Alphaproteobacteria
Also listed under: 1 other name
Description: tRNA-Trp
Rfam family: tRNA
About the family: Transfer RNA (tRNA) molecules are approximately 80 nucleotides in length.
Source: RNAcentral
AGGGGUGUAGCUCAGCUGGUAGAGCACCGGUCUCCAAAACCGGGUGUCGCAGGUUCGAAUCCUGUCGCCCCUGCCA